Long non-coding RNA from Centropristis striata (black sea bass), 898 nucleotides. RefSeq lists it as uncharacterized. The transcript is spliced from 4 exons. Lineage: Eukaryota; Metazoa; Chordata; Actinopteri; Perciformes; Serranidae. The record is from RefSeq and is a predicted model, not a curated record.
AGGAGGAGACAAAGAGCAUCUCAACUCAGUAAGAGUCAGCCGCUCCGUAGACACGUCGGCCGGGAUACUCUGCCUGGAAACACCGCAAACUAAUCGGAACCGGCAGCCGACAGAGACGGACGAGUCUCGUUGGAUACGAGGUGGUCGAUUAGGUGUGACUUGUGACUGUGAUGAUGGGAGGAGAGCAGAGCCAUGAGAGGAGGGCUGAGGAGAGAGAAGAGGAGCCUGAAAAGCAUCAACAGUCUGUCCAGACUGACAGCUCAGGAUCUGCUGCUGCUGAAGACUCCCCGGGAGAGCUGCCCCAGUGCAACAUGGGAAACAAGAGGGUGGACAACAUGUGUUUCAUGAUCUCCUGCACCAACUGGUAUUAAACUGGUCCUGGUACAACAAGUUAAUGUUAUUAAGGCUGAAUUCAUGGAGUCACAGAGAAUCCAGAAUGAAGCUGUCACUGAAUUCCCACAUGCUCGCUGCAAAUCACUAUUCUACCUACUUCACAGGUUAAACAAAUGAGACACAAUGUGUUUGUCAGUGAGCUUUAGAGGUGCUGAUAGGUGGGUUUUGUCACUUGGGAUGCUAAGCCAGGCUAGCUGUUCCCCUUUUUCCAGUCUUUAUGCUAAGCUAACUGAUUGCUGGCAGUGGCUUCAUAUUUUCCGUGGACACGAGAGGCGUUUGAUUAUCUCUUCUAACUCUUUACAAGGAAGCAGAAAAUCGAGUUUGUUCAUGAAAAGAAACGGUGCAAGAGACGGGGUAAAGAUUCAUGGGCUGAAUAUAAGAUUCAGAAAUGGAUCAAACCAACUCGUGUGUAUUCUUAUUCAUGCCAUUAAUGGCUGUCAGCUGAAAUUACUAAAGAAUUGCACAAAUGAGAAUAAAUAAACCAAAUCAAUGAUUUUAACAGCAA